GUAUUGAUUCCUGGUAUGACUGACGAAUAAAUGAGUAUUAUAUUGCCGCCCUCUUGCUUAUGUUGCUUCUAAACUAGCACUGGGAUGUCUCCUAUUGGAACUAUUGAUUUCAGUUACCACAGCACUACAGCUUGUUUUGAACCAUCCCUGGAUUACAUUGUGGUGAAAAUAACAGUUGGGAUCUCUGCAAGUUUACCCAUGUUAGCAUUGAGAUUGGUAGCAGCAUGAAGAGGAGAAGUCAUGGCAGUUGAAGGAAAUUUGAGGAGGCACUGCAGAUAAGGAUGGUCAAUGAUAGUCUUGCCUUGGGUUUGAUCCUAAAUUCCUACAACUUAGAAAAGAGGAUCUCAAUCAUCGAACUGACAAGCAUAUUUUAGAGUAGCUGCUGCUUUGGACUCUGGUUGUUCCAUUGAUGAGUUGUACCAGUUAACAUGUAUUGAGAAAUGGUUCCUUUGCAGAAAGAAGAAUAUCAUUGACUAUAAUAAAAUGCUAGGAAAACAUGACCAAUAGGCACUGUCCCAAAUUCCAUCCUAUUAUGCUUUGAAAUGAAUCCAA
Amphimedon queenslandica is the source of this 552-nucleotide long non-coding RNA. RefSeq lists it as uncharacterized. NCBI's taxonomy places the organism in Eukaryota, Metazoa, Porifera, Demospongiae, Haplosclerida, Niphatidae. The transcript is spliced from 5 exons. The record is from RefSeq and is a predicted model, not a curated record.